CAGCGCCACAAGUGGGGAUCAUUAUUAUUGGGCCUAAAGCGUUCGUAGCCGGUUAAAUAAAUUUUCUGUGAAAUUGUUGGGCUUAACCUAACAGCGUGCAGAAAACACUAUUUGACUAGAGACCGGGAGGAGUUAGAGGUAUUCGAGGGGUAGCGGUAAAAUGCAAUAAUCCCACGAGGACCACCAGUGGCGAAGGCGUCUAACUAGAACGGGUCUGACGGUGAGGAACGAAGGCCAGGGGAGCGAACCGGAUUAGAUACCCGAGUAGUCC
RNAcentral lists this ribosomal RNA (271 nucleotides) under uncultured archaeon. Its description in RNAcentral is "partial 16S ribosomal RNA". It matches the Rfam family "Archaeal small subunit ribosomal RNA", at positions 477 to 747 of the family's 1478-position model. The record is from RNAcentral.